CCCAUCGAUCGACACAAUGCAGUCGAGCGGAUGACGGGAGCUUGCUCCUUGAUUAGCGGCGGACGGGUGAGUAAUGCCUAGGAAUCUGCCUGGUAGUGGGGGACAACGUUUCGAAAGGAACGCUAAUACCGCAUACGUCCUACGGGAGAAAGCAGGGGACCUUCGGGCCUUGCGCUAUCAGAUGAGCCUAGGUCGGAUUAGCUAGUUGGUGGGGUAAUGGCUCACCAAGGCGACGAUCCGUAACUGGUCUGAGAGGAUGAUCAGUCACACUGGAACUGAGACACGGUCCAGACUCCUACGGGAGGCAGCAGUGGGGAAUAUUGGACAAUGGGCGAAAGCCUGAUCCAGCCAUGCCGCGUGUGUGAAGAAGGUCUUCGGAUUGUAAAGCACUUUAAGUUGGGAGGAAGGGCAGUAAGUUAAUACCUUGCUGUUUUGACGUUACCGACAGAAUAAGCACCGGCUAACUCUGUGCCAGCAGCCGCGGUAAUACAGAGGGUGCAAGCGUUAAUCGGAAUUACUGGGCGUAAAGCGCGCGUAGGUGGUUCGUUAAGUUGGAUGUGAAAGCCCCGGGCUCAACCUGGGAACUGCAUCCAAAACUGGCGAGCUAGAGUACGGUAGAGGGUGGUGGAAUUUCCUGUGUAGCGGUGAAAUGCGUAGAUAUAGGAAGGAACACCAGUGGCGAAGGCGACCACCUGGACUGAUACUGACACUGAGGUGCGAAAGCGUGGGGAGCAAACAGGAUUAGAUA
This 748-nucleotide ribosomal RNA is filed under the name Pseudomonas monteilii. RNAcentral's name for it is "bacterial SSU rRNA". It matches the Rfam family "Bacterial small subunit ribosomal RNA", at positions 41 to 784 of the family's 1533-position model. Lineage: Bacteria; Pseudomonadati; Pseudomonadota; Gammaproteobacteria; Pseudomonadales; Pseudomonadaceae. The record is from RNAcentral.